GUCCACGCUGUAAACGAUGAUCACUAGAUGUGGGUUCUGCUUAGCAGGAUCUGUGUCGAAGCUAACGCGUUAAGUGAUCCGCCUGGGAAAUACGGUCGCAAGAUUAAAACUCAAAGGAAUUGACGGGGGUCCGCACAAGCGGUGGAACAUGUGGUUUAAUUCGACACUACGCGAGGAACCUUACCUGGGCUUGACAUGUACUUGACCCGUGUAGAAAUACAUUUUCUUGUAGUAAUACAAGCGGGUACACAGGUGCUGCAUGGCUGUCGU
RNAcentral lists this ribosomal RNA (270 nucleotides) under uncultured bacterium. RNAcentral's name for it is "partial 16S ribosomal RNA". It matches the Rfam family "Bacterial small subunit ribosomal RNA", at positions 793 to 1055 of the family's 1533-position model. The record is from RNAcentral.